UAAAACUGUACAUAAAUAGAUUGAACGAUAAAAACAAGCAUCAGAAUUUGUGACAGGGCAAAACGUAUUCUUCUGCUUCUUCUGCAGAGAACAUCAUUUGGCAUUCUGACGUCCAUCUUGUUCUGCAGGCCUUCGUUGGCAUCUUAAAUAAACCCUAUUUCACGCAACUCCCGGGGGGAGUUCUGCCGGACAGCGUUACGGCCAACGUUACUGAUGUUUGUGCUUGUUAACUUCAAUGAUAACAGUCUUUAAAAGAAAGGAUUUUUAAUUUUGACUGUUUUUGUUCGCUCUACUGGCCGGGAAUCGAUGUUUCUGGUUUCAUGCUGACCGAGGCUCAACCCACACCCAAGAGGAAAACAUAAUUGGCGGUUGAUGUAAGGGCCGCACACAAUUCCCAUAUCUUUGCAGCGGUUUGGGAGUUUGCUUUGCUGGCUGAUGGACAGCGCGUGGGCUGAUAGUCCGGCCGGGGUCAGAAGCAUUGUCCAUCACAGAGUCUAAACGGAGAGACCAUGGAGCCACUUAUGUGUUGGCAUACUGCAGAUUGCUAGCCAACUUUGAAUUUAAUCAACAAGGAAUCCAAAUGGUCCAGAGGUGAAAGGUGCAAAACCCGGAAAUGCGACACAAUCUUCCAGAUCGAGAAAAACCCAGGUGGACGGCCGAGCGUUCCCUCUCCACCUGAAACUCCCUCACUGGAAAAGUGCAGCGUCAACACAUUGAGAUGCCAAGACUUUUCAUUCUUCAUCUAAAAUGAAAUUGCACGGAGUGAUUAAGCUAAUACCACUUAAGUUGUUUUAAAAAUUUACAUCUAUUCACGGUUGACUUCAGGUGGUAGAAAGAAGGGCCUCCACACAUGCAUGUGUAUUCCUUUAUAUAUAUAUAUUUUUCAAAUGUACAACAUCAGCCCUCUCUCUAUAACAUAGAAUGUAUAUAACCCAUGCCUCCGUGCAACAGGGGAAAGUGGGUGUCUCUGUGGUCUCCGUCUCUGCCCUCUGUGUCUCCUGUGGGCCAAUUCCCAGUGACAUUCUGCCAAACCCCAAGGUAGCAAGCCAUGAAAAUGAGUGUGUUGCCCUGUGGGUUUAAAAAAAGACAUGUUUUGAUCCAUCCUCUUCGACUAUUCCUUCCCAUGCUUGUUCUCCUAUCUACAGAAUUAGUUCUGUGGGGUAGAGUGGAAAUUAAAGUUCAAUCACUUAGGUUUUCUGCUACCUUACCAUUAUUGCUACCAAAAGGGCUGCAAAUUAAGAUUCUCCUUGUCUCUCUGCAACCACUUGGAGACUGAAAAUUGUGUCACAGGGGACAUGAUGCAGUAAUUUGUGGCGUACAUAAAUAUGAUACAUUAUACAUAGAGAAGCUUUGUGUAUUCAUUUUUCCCAUCGGCUCUCU
Gasterosteus aculeatus aculeatus (three-spined stickleback) is the source of this 1380-nucleotide long non-coding RNA. The record is from Ensembl. Lineage: Eukaryota; Metazoa; Chordata; Actinopteri; Perciformes; Gasterosteidae.